RNAcentral lists this ribosomal RNA (446 nucleotides) under uncultured bacterium. Its description in RNAcentral is "bacterial SSU rRNA". It matches the Rfam family "Bacterial small subunit ribosomal RNA", at positions 329 to 792 of the family's 1533-position model. The record is from RNAcentral.
GCCCAGACUCCUACGGGAGGCAGCAGUGGGGAAUAUUGCACAAUGGGGGAAACCCUGAUGCAGCGACGCCGCGUGAGUGAAGAAGUAAUUCGUUAUGUAAAGCUCUAUCAGCAGGGAAGAAAAUGACGGUACCUGACUAAGAAGCCCCGGCUAACUACGUGCCAGCAGCCGCGGUAAUACGUAGGGGGCAAGCGUUAUCCGGAUUUACUGGGUGUAAAGGGAGCGUAGACGGCAGUGCAAGUCCGGAGUGAAAGCCCGGGGCUCAACCCUGGGACUGCUCUGGAAACUGUAGAGCUGGAGUGCGGGAGGGGCAGGCGGAAUUCCUGGUGUAGCGGCGAAAUGCGUAGAUAUCAGGAGGAACACCGGCGGCGAAGGCGGCCUGCUGGACCGUAACUGACGUUGAGGCUCGAAAGCGUGGGGAGCAAACAGGAUUAGAUACCCGGGUA